AGGUAUGGAGCAGUACAUAGGGUAAAUUGAAUAAAUUAGCUACACUAUAUACAAUUUUUUGAUUUAAGACAAUACACACCAAUUCAUAUUGGGUUCAAAAUUUUCUCUGUCUUUACAUGGUAUCAAGAGCAAGUUGACCAACCUGAUAUUUGAAACCCAAAUUCAUUUUUCAACUUUGCUCUAUUCCUUACAAUGGGAGAAACAACAGAAGUUGUAAUUGCAGCAACAACUGAUUCAACCAAUAAAGGUGUGAUUGAUUCAACACACCAUUUCUUUCUCCAUCCUUCAGACUACCCAGGCAUGAACCUUGUUUUCUCAGCUUUUGAUGGCAAAAGCUAUGGAGCUUGGCGUAGAGCAGUAGUCAUAGCUCUUUCUAUCAAGAAUAAACUAGGUUUCAUAGAUGGAACUCUUUUCAUUCCAGAUGAAAACUCUGGUCUUCAAAGUGCAUGGGCUAGAGGAAAUGAGAUGGUGUUGUCUUGGCUCCUUAACUCUCUGUAAAAAGAAAUUGCAGGAAGUGUUCUUUACUCACACAAUGCAAAAGAUCUGUGGAAUGAUUUAGAAGACAGAUUUGGUCAGACAAAUGUGGCUAAACUUUUUCAACUGCAGAAAGAACUAAGUGCUGUGGUUCAAGGUAACUCUAGUGUUUCAAGUUAUUUCACAAAAAUGAAAAAUUUGUGGGAUGAACUAGAUACCUUGAUCAAUUUUUCUACUUGUUCAUGUGAAUGUGUAUGUGGAGCUAAAAGAAAAAGUCUGAAAACGCACCAAGACCAGAGACUGCUGCAAUUUUUAAUGGCCCUGAAUGACACCUACAUAGGUGUGAGAAGCAACAUACUAUUGACUUGUCCUUUACCUUCUCUUGGCCAAGCUUACUCUAUGGUUAUCCAGGAUGAAAAGCAAAGAGAAAUACAUGUUUUUCCUGUUUAUCCGGGAGAAUCAGCCUCAUUUAUUGCUGCACAACAUGGGACUGUUGGUAAGAGAAACAAUGUGAGAGAUUUUAAAGGGAAAAAACUUGGGUAUGAGGGAAAGAAAAAUAACUCUACUUGUUCAUAUUGCAAGAAGCUAGGUCAUGUUAUGGAACAAUGCUACAUGCUUGUUGGAUUUUCCUCAGAUUUUAUGUUCACAAAUCAAAGAAAAUGCCAGAGGUUAGUUCAAGGUAACAAUACUUUCAGCACUGAAGAAAAUGCAGUACAGACUACGGGGAUCAAGUCACUUACUCAAGAAAAUAUCAGCCAGAUCUUACAACUCCUUCAGCAAGUGCAGAUGGGAAAACACGGAACCAACAGCUCUGAAAACAAUGCAG
RNAcentral lists this long non-coding RNA (1300 nucleotides) under Nicotiana tabacum (common tobacco). RNAcentral's name for it is "long non-coding RNA (NTAB_LNC018830)". The record is from RNAcentral. Lineage: Eukaryota; Viridiplantae; Streptophyta; Magnoliopsida; Solanales; Solanaceae.